UAAGGCAGUUGCCAUAGCAGCAUUGUACAACACAGAGACGAUGGCGUACAGCACAGCCAGCCGCUUUCACCAUUCUCUAACGCAGUUUAAAGCCUACGAGGAUUAUCUGGACUCGAAGGUCACGCCUCUGGAUCUGUUCUACUUUAAAAAGGAGUUGGCCCGCAAGCUGGUGGAACACGGCCACAAGGGCACGGUCCUGAGCAGGGAGGAAUUUGAGGAGAGGAAAGCAGCUGCACAGGCUGCAGAGGCUGCAAAGAGCAACACUUUCUACAACAGGAGUUGGCCAGUGACACUGGCAAGUGCAGGAAAAGAACUCAAAGAUAACUUCCUGAAAGCCCUGGCAGAGCGAGAGGAGGCCAACCGCAGUGGGAAAAUGACUUCGGUCAUUUUCAUAAGGGGAUCAUAAUACUCUUGGACAGGAAGUAUCUGGCUAUAUAGACUACGCCCACAGACUCAAGACCCAAGAUUUUGAACCAUAUUUCAGUGGAAAGAAGAGGCUCAUGCCAGGGCGCUCAGAUUUAUGCUACUACAACUGGAAGACGCUGGUAUCCACAUCCAACUCGAGCCCAAACUUUGAGGUGAUUUAUGAUAACCCUGAUGGGCUUCUCUUUAAGAACAAGAGGGACAAAAAGAUCCUGAAUUUGGACCCUUUGUCUGGUCCUGGCGAGGACUCCAAGAGGACGUUCCUGCAGUCGGACAUCUACAUUCAUGCUGUCAUCUAUGACCACAACAUCAGGACAGUCUAAGCUUCAGAGUCCGUCGCCGACACUUGCAUGCAUAUGGCACAUAUUUGGAGAGCACUGGAAGCCUCUAAUUUGACUGAGUUGCUGUAGUUGCCCCAUCAUUUACAAACUGGUCCCCUCAUAUCAUGCAUGCCAUCUGGGUGGAGGUGUUGCCGUAAAGAAAUGGCUUUAAACUGAGGAAUCCCAAAGGAUGAAGUUGAUGGACUCGUGUGACAGCAGGUUUAUUUGCUGAGCUUUUCUGUGUAACGCUGGCCUGAAAUGAUUCCAUCCAGAUCAGGUGUGGCUGUGCUUUUCGCCGUUACCCGUGCCAGCAGCGUUAGUUUGGGGCAAGAACCUGCUCAGAGACCCCUGGCUCGCUCCAGCAUUUGGCCUGGCAUGUUUUAGGCUGUUUGUCUAAACAAAUUAAAGGCGUAAGAGCUUUGAAAGAUGAUGGGGGUUGCUUUCAUGUCCUCCCCCAGGCUGCGGUAGCUCCAAUUGGAGUGGGUAAUGGGCUUAAAGCAUUCCGUAUGUUUCCAGAUACAAGGCACACGUUAUGAGACAUCAAAGUGCCCUAUCAUUUACAUAUUAGUCAUUCACUAUGACAUUUUAAAAUUAUUUACAAAGUUCAGAAUAAUUUUAGCAACUUGCUUCCCUUUCAGUCUGUAAGCUGAGUCUUUAUUU
This is an RNA transcript of Archocentrus centrarchus (flier cichlid), 1403 nucleotides long. It is a transcript of the gene named cilia and flagella associated protein 299, with no coding region annotated. The record is from RefSeq and is a predicted model, not a curated record. The transcript is spliced from 6 exons. NCBI's taxonomy places the organism in Eukaryota, Metazoa, Chordata, Actinopteri, Cichliformes, Cichlidae.